Molecule: ribosomal RNA, 320 nt
Filed under: uncultured eukaryote
Lineage: Eukaryota
Description: partial 18S ribosomal RNA
Rfam family: Eukaryotic small subunit ribosomal RNA
Source: RNAcentral
CCCCUAGAUGUUCUGGGCCGCACGCGCGCUACACUGAACAGUUCAACAAGUCUUAACCUUGGCCGAUAGGUCUGGGUAAUCUUUGAACGCUGUUCGUGAUUGGGAUAGACCUUUGCAAUUAUGGGUCUUCAACGAGGAAUUCCUAGUAAACGCAAGUCAUCAGCUUGCAUUGAUUACGUCCCUGCCCUUUGUACACACCGCCCGUCGCACCUACCGAUUGAAUGGUCCGGUGAAAUCUCGGGACGGCGGCUCGGUCGCUUGCGUCCGACUGCUGAAACUUGAUUAAACCAUAUCAUCUAGAGGAAGGUGAAGUCGUAACA